Long non-coding RNA from Orbicella faveolata, 631 nucleotides. RefSeq lists it as uncharacterized. NCBI's taxonomy places the organism in Eukaryota, Metazoa, Cnidaria, Anthozoa, Scleractinia, Merulinidae. The record is from RefSeq and is a predicted model, not a curated record.
AGCAUUGUCUUAGUAGUUGAGGUAGAACUGUCUUUGGAGGAUAGGUCCGCAAUAUGCUGAGUCAAAUCCACAAAGAACUAUUUGACUUGAAUAUACACGCAAAAUAUUUUGACGAGCUGGAGUACAGCACGUAUGGGCUAUUUAUACAUGAAUAUUGAUAAGACAUUUUGCUUUGUUGUUCAUCGUUUAUAUAAUUAUUCAAAUGUGCAGACACGCACAUCAAAACAAACUUGAACAUUCGACAAGAAGGACGCAUCGCUGAUUUUGCCUGAAACGUUGAAAAGGUGUCACGAUAUCAUCAUGAUUUUUGGAGAGGUCUUGAUUUUGGCGUUUCUCGCCACCACCAUGGGCCUGCUGGGCGUAUCAAUCCACAGCGUGUUCUCAUCACACCGCAAUAACAUCAUCGAGCUGAGAAAACUGGAGGAUGAAAUGAUGGAGAAGUAUGGCUGGGCGCCAUCGGUCCCUUAUAACCCGUACUAUCCACCCAACUGCUAAACGGGUUGACGAAAUGUCCCCAAAUGGGACUGAACUUCUGGUUUGGGUUCUCUGUCCAUUGGAAUGCGAGGCGUUGAAUUUGUAGUAACUGUGACAGAACCCUUGCAUAAUGCUUUGGCUGAAGUAAUGUAAAAAA